This 1149-nucleotide unclassified non-coding RNA is filed under the name Polaromonas sp. E7S. RNAcentral's name for it is "partial contains 16S ribosomal RNA, 16S-23S ribosomal RNA intergenic spacer, and 23S ribosomal RNA". The stretch from base 899 to 1149 matches the Rfam family "Bacterial large subunit ribosomal RNA", at positions 1 to 258 of the family's 2925-position model. Lineage: Bacteria; Pseudomonadati; Pseudomonadota; Betaproteobacteria; Burkholderiales; Comamonadaceae. The record is from RNAcentral.
UGUACACACCGCCCGUCACACCAUGGGAGCGGGUUCUGCCAGAAGUAGUUAGCCUAACCGUAAGGAGGGCGAUUACCACGGCAGGGUUCGUGACUGGGGUGAAGUCGUAACAAGGUAGCCGUAUCGGAAGGUGCGGCUGGAUCACCUCCUUUCUGGAAAUAUGCAGUCAAAUUCUUACGCCCAUUCUUAUCGGCUGUUGUGUCAAACAACAGCAAUGUCACCGAGUUAAUUCAAGUUAAUUAGCAUUAAUUGGUGCCGCCUUCGAGUUUAUUAAUGAGAGUUAAUUAAUGAGAGGGUCUGUAGCUCAGCUGGUUAGAGCAUCGUCUUGAUAAGGCGGGGGUCGUUGGUUCGAGUCCAACCAGACCCACCAAUUGGGCUUAGUUAGUCUUAAUUGGACUUAGGUGGAAAGCGACAAGCAAAAAGCGAAAAAUAAAUCCCGGGGGAUUAGCUCAGCUGGGAGAGCACCUGCUUUGCAAGCAGGGGGUCGACGGUUCGAUCCCGUCAUCCUCCACCAAACCUGCUGCUGCCGCGUAAGUGGUGAAAGUAGUGAAAGUAGUGAAUAAAAAAACUUAUCCGAAGCAAAUUAAAUUAAUGCAAAGCAUGUUCUCGACAAGUCGCGAGGAUGCUUUGUAUUGAUUGAUUCAUUUCAAUUAUUGGCUGUUCUUUAAAAAUUUAUAGAGUUAAAUUAGCGUCGUUAGCGGAAACUGCACAUUCGUAAAGGUUUAGUGCAGACCGUGCCGCUAGCGACAAAGUAGUAAAUAAUUUUUUGAUUGCGUCAAAAGAAACUUUUAAUUUCGAUAGUAAUUUAUUGAAUAAUUGGAAGAUACGGCAUAACGCGUGUGGUGUAAGACCACACAAUCAUUCCUUGAAGAUAGCUUAUGAGAAAUCAAAGUUAUAGGGUCAAGCGAAUAAGAGCAUAUGGUGGAUGCCUAGGCAAUGAUAGGCGACGAAAGACGUGAUAGCCUGCGAUAAGCUUCGGGGAGCUGGCAAAUUAGCUUUGAUCCGGAGAUUUCUGAAUGGGGAAACCCACCCUUCGGGGUAACGCUGACUGAAUACAUAGGUCUGCGUGGCGAACCGGGUGAACUGAAACAUCUCAGUAGCUCGAGGAAAAGACAUCAACCGAGAUUCCGAGAGUAGUGGCGAGCGAAA